RNAcentral lists this ribosomal RNA (429 nucleotides) under Pseudomonadota bacterium. RNAcentral describes it as "Proteobacteria bacterium partial 16S ribosomal RNA". It matches the Rfam family "Bacterial small subunit ribosomal RNA", at positions 355 to 776 of the family's 1533-position model. The record is from RNAcentral. Lineage: Bacteria; Pseudomonadati; Pseudomonadota.
UGGGGAAUAUUGGACAAUGGGCGAAAGCCUGAUCCAGCCAUGCCGCGUGUGUGAAGAAUGUCUUCGGAUUGUAAAGCACUUUAAGUUGGGAGGAAGGGCAGUAAUCGAAUACCUUGCUGUUUUGACGUUACCGACAGAAUAAGCACCGGCUAACUCUGUGCCAGCAGCCGCGGUAAUACAGAGGGUGCAAGCGUUAAUCGGAAUUACUGGGCGUAAAGCGCGCGUAGGUGGUUCGUUAAGUUGAAUGUGAAAGCCCCGGGCUCAACCUGGGAACUGCAUCCAAAACUGGCGAGCUAGAGUAGGGCAGAGGGUGGUGGAAUUUCCUGUGUAGCGGUGAAAUGCGUAGAUAUAGGAAGGAACACCAGUGGAGAAGGCGACCACCUGGGAUCAAACUGACACUGAAGUGCGAAAGCGUGGGGAGCAAACAGG